CAAAACGACUCUCGGCAACGGAUAUCUCGGCUCUCGCAUCGAUGAAGAACGUAGCGAAAUGCGAUACUUGGUGUGAAUUGCAGAAUCCCGUGAACCAUCGAGUCUUUGAACGCAAGUUGCGCCCCAAGCCGUUAGGCCGAGGGCACGUCUGCCUGGGUGUCACGC
RNAcentral lists this ribosomal RNA (165 nucleotides) under Harpephyllum caffrum. Its description in RNAcentral is "5.8S ribosomal RNA". It matches the Rfam family "5.8S ribosomal RNA". From Rfam's summary of the family: 5.8S ribosomal RNA (5.8S rRNA) is a component of the large subunit of the eukaryotic ribosome. Lineage: Eukaryota; Viridiplantae; Streptophyta; Magnoliopsida; Sapindales; Anacardiaceae. The record is from RNAcentral. RNAcentral also lists the same sequence under 2 other names.